UCAGUUAUUUUCUCCACUCCCCCAAGAAGACCAUCUUUUUUGUGACAAGUUAACGGUUAUUUCAGAAGAAUCCAAAAAUCAAAGUAUUGUGGUCCACUGAUGCUUUUGUCCCGCUGUCAUCAAAGUUGUUCUGAGCGCUGGUACAAAUGAAGAUUGAUGUCCUGUGCCUGGUACACCUUUCUGCUUUAAAAAUUCAUUUCUAGGCUGGCUUGCAGUUAAUUUGCAUCGGGAGCCGAGCCUUCCUAUGUCAAACUGAGUCCUCACAGGGGAGCAUUCACAGGAAAGAGCCCUCCUGCCUUGGCCAAAGCGAAGCCACAAGAUCCCCUGGGAUGUGUCAAGCUUGCCAACAGGCCUGGGGGACAAGCCACAGCUCUCCAUGUACUACUGCCCAGGCAGUACAUGGCACCCAGUGCCCCUUUGGAGAAACAAUAAUUUAGAGAAGAGUUGACCUGGAACUACGCUUGUGGAGAAUAUGGCGAAAA
Molecule: long non-coding RNA, 482 nt
Organism: Struthio camelus australis
Lineage: Eukaryota; Metazoa; Chordata; Aves; Struthioniformes; Struthionidae
Source: RefSeq, a predicted model, not a curated record